GAAGACACACACACACACACACACACACCAGCCAGACACUGCGGGGCACACUGACACACAUGUACACAAAUAUACCCAUACACACAUGCGUAUGCAGGCUCUGAGGGACACGGUGGUUCACACACACACACACACACACACACAAACAGAGCUAUACACAGAGGUAUAACGCUGGCACACAGGCACACACACACCGAUGAGCAAAUCCAGUGACCCCUAAGCCUGCGUCUCACCCCCUCCUCCGAGCUCAGCCUCUGUCUGUUCUUGGCAGCCGGCGGAGGACCGGCACCGCCAUGCCCAGGCCAGCAGUGCCAGCAGAAGUGCCGCCUGGCUUUCCGGACGGCAGGAAGUUGCAAGGUUGGGUCUGAGCCAGGGGCCAGCCAGGGAGCCAGGGGCCUGGGCAAUGGACAAAUCUGGAAAAGGUGUCAGGGGUCACACCGGCCCAAUGAGUCAGGAUCCAGUGGCCCAUCAGUUGUCGAUGAUGACGCCAAUGAAGAGGUUGAGGGUGAAGAAGGAGCCGAAGAUGAUGAAGAUGACGAAAUAGAGGAUUAGAGACACAGACCCAGAAAAGAAGCCAACAGAGUCUUUGAAGCAGCAGGACCCUUGGGAAUGGCCUCCUGUGCACUGCCAGCGGUGGCCACCCAGGCCACCCUCAUUAUUUCAGGCUGAACUGAAUCUGAGAACUAUCUGUUUUCAGGGAGAAACUGUUCCAUGACCUCCAGACAAAGUGGGUGGCGCAAGCCCGGUGAUGCCCAGGGGAGCUCUACUCCUGGCUGGGGCACCAACCAGCUGCCAGGUCACUUUCUCUCUGGUGGGGAGGGGUCCCGGCUCCAGGGGUGGGACGGCCCAGUGCUGGCUGGCCUCUUGCAUGACCAGGAGGGAGCCACCAGGCUCUGUGCACUGCUGACCUGCAACCAGCUGCUUCAUGGAAGUUCGUCCCUCUAGCGUGGGUUUUGCUCCUAACAGACACCCCAACCCCCCACCCCCGCCCCUUGCCUGGGGAAGUCCCAUUGGUCUUGCCCAAACCCUGUAUUUACCUGUCACUUCCGCCCUCAAGGGCCUGAGGGAAGGGUGGGCAGGCUUGGAGUCCUGGGGGGCCCCAGUCUGAGGCUGGGGAGGGACACCUAUAAACCCACAGACCUGCUUUCCUUCCUCUCCUCCUGCCUCGGUGCCCUCAGGCCCCUCCUGGGAGCUGCUACAGCCUCUGCUGCCCCCAGUGGUGGAAGAGAUGAGCGAAGGAGGGGGCUGAGGGCGGGAAUGGGCACUUGGGCUGGUGUGGGAGGAUGCCUGGGGACCUCCGGACCUGGACCCCUGGUGGUGGCUGGAGUACAGACACCCGCAGCCCCCUUCCAAGCUGUGGCUGCUCCCCCAGUCCUUAGCCCUACUCAGAGUCCCCCUCGGCACCCACCCUCAUGCCCUGGAAUCUAGACAGUGCCCUCAGGGGACGCAGAGCCCUGAGUGUCCGCAGGGAUUUGAUGGGUCCCAGCUCCGAGUAGCCCAGCCAGUUGGCCACCAGGCUGAUGAUGGAGACCUGUAAUGGGAGGGGAGGGUGGUCAGGGAGAGCAGGGCCUCAGCCACAAGGACCGCCUGGGAUCUGACUGCGGGGCCGGGGGUGGGGCAGACUCACAUCCACGAUGAGGAAGUCGAGCCAGCACCAGGCGUUGGUGAAGUACACCUUGAAGCCAUAGGCCACCCACUUGAGCAGCAUCUCCAUGAUGAAGACGUAGGUGAAGACCUUGUCUGCGUAUUCCAGGAUGGUCCGGAUGACUCGCCGCUGCUCGAUGUAGAUGUCCUCGAAGGCCUGGGGGCACCAGCAGGGCAGGGUGGUCAGGGCCCAAAGGAGGCCAGGGCAGCAGCCACGUCCCUACCUGCCUAAGGCUGCUGGUUCCCAGGGUUCUGGCACCGGGGCCAGGCGGGGGCAGACUCCCCGUGCCCAUCAUGCGGGUGAGCCAGUGAGUUCCCGGUGGGGAGAAGCCCCUCAGCUCCCCUUCCCCAGGCCUAAUAAUAGUAACCCUCACUGGUCUGUCAGGGGGGUUCACCUUGACACAUCCUGCCCUCCCAACCCCCAAUUCCCAAGGCCUUCCCCACCUGAUCCCCGGCUGGGACCUGUCAGCUAAGGAUGCACAGGGAUUCAGAGCCCAUCUGUCUCUUUAAGAAA
Non-coding RNA from Delphinapterus leucas (beluga whale), 2158 nucleotides. NCBI's taxonomy places the organism in Eukaryota, Metazoa, Chordata, Mammalia, Artiodactyla, Monodontidae. The record is from RefSeq and is a predicted model, not a curated record.